GUUCUCUUCAGCAGCACAUAUACUAAAAUUGGAAUGAUACAGAGAAGAUUAGCAUGGCCCCUGUACAAGGAUGACAGGCAAAAAGGUUGAUGUUGUUUAAUUGAUU
This is a small nuclear RNA of Otolemur garnettii (small-eared galago), 106 nucleotides long. The record is from Ensembl. NCBI's taxonomy places the organism in Eukaryota, Metazoa, Chordata, Mammalia, Primates, Galagidae.